AAACUUAAAUGAAUUGACGGGGGCCCGCACAAGCGGCGGAGCGUGCGGAUUAAUUCGAUGCAACGCGAAGAACCUUACCAAGGCUUGACAUAUACUGGAUCGCCAUAGAGAUAUGGUUUCCCUUCGGGGCUGGUAUACAGGUGGUGCAUGGUUGUCGUCAGCUCGUGUCGUGAGAUGUUGGGUUAAGUCCCGCAACGAGCGCAACCCUCGUUCUAUGUUGCCAGCAUUAGGUUGGGGACUCAUAGGAGACUGCCGGGGUUAACUCGGAGGAAGGUGAGGACGACGUCAAAUCAUCAUGCCCCUUAUGUCUUGGGCUUCACGCGCGCUACAAUGGCCGGUACAACGGGUUGCGAUACUGUAAGGUGGAGCUAAUCCCUAAAAGCCGGUCUCAGUUCGGAUAGAGGUCUGCAACUCGACCUCUUGAAGUUGGAGUCGCUAGUAAUCGCAGAUCAGCUAUGCUGCGGUGAAUACGUUCCCGGGCCUUGUACACACCGCCCGUCAAGUCACGAAAGUGGGUAACACCCGAAGCCGGUGGCCUAACCCUUUUGGGAAGGAGCUGUCUAAGGUGGGACUUGCGAUUGGGACUAAGUCGUAACAAGGUAGCCGUACCGGAAGGUGCGGCUGGAUCACCUCCUUUAUG
Molecule: ribosomal RNA, 640 nt
Filed under: uncultured Rothia sp.
Lineage: Bacteria; Bacillati; Actinomycetota; Actinomycetes; Micrococcales; Micrococcaceae
Description: bacterial SSU rRNA
Rfam family: Bacterial small subunit ribosomal RNA
Source: RNAcentral